UUUUCCGUUCACUUUAGGCAAAGCAGUUAACAAGCAAGUGUUGAAUUUCUGUGUGCAGCAAGAAGCACAGGUUCAGUGGAGUUAAGAUGGAUUAAAUCAGUUACUGAGCUCUGAAAGCAUAUGUGGUGGGGUCAGGCAGGUAGGAUAUGAUUUAACAAAAGGAAAAUUAUAUAAUGAUCAAUGUAAUAGGAAUGUAAAGCAGGGAAUGACCCAUAUGGAAUACAAUAGCUGAGACAAGCUUUGUGGAAGAAGAAAGGUCAUGUGUGACACAUGGAUCAGAGAAUCUGAAAAGACAGAGGAGAAGGGCUUCUCAGGCAGAGGAAGAAAAAGAGGACCAGGCACUGUGCAUACUGCUGGAGAUCAACAGUAAGCAAGAGAUCACCAACCCAUCUCCAGGAGCUUGCAGUCUCUCCAAGGAGAUCCCGGGGCUUACAGAAGAUGCCGUCUCCCUGUCCCCUCUAGGGCACCUGCCUUACGCACCGACUUCUGCCGGUCCUCUCUGGCAUAUGAUCUUGCACUUGUGUUGAAGAAACAUUUUUCAAUUACAAGGAGAGUUCCUGGAUGCCAGAAACUCUAAGAGAGAUUUCUGCAAGAUUUCCUUAAUGCAAGGUACCCAUAACAACCUUUAUAUACUUGCUGUAUGAAGCCACACUGCUGUAGAAUCUAAUGGCAAUUGUUUAACAGUAAAUUACAAUGUGUUGCCUAAAGAACAUCACAUAGCUUGUGACUCUGGAUGUCCAGGAAAUUUUCUACAGAGGUACUUUUUUUUUUAAACUACUCAGACCACAGUUUUACAGUGGACAACAUCAUGAUAACUUCAGUUAAUAACACUCUAACACUAUGAAAGACGAUUCAGCCACUGAAGAGUAAACCUUAAGUACUGUAGUCCAGUAGAUUAAAAUUCAGUCCUUCGAAAUACAAAAACAAA
Molecule: long non-coding RNA, 928 nt
Organism: Heterocephalus glaber (naked mole-rat)
Lineage: Eukaryota; Metazoa; Chordata; Mammalia; Rodentia; Bathyergidae
Source: RefSeq, a predicted model, not a curated record